Molecule: unclassified non-coding RNA, 305 nt
Filed under: plant metagenome
Description: partial contains 5.8S ribosomal RNA, internal transcribed spacer 2, and large subunit ribosomal RNA
Rfam family: 5.8S ribosomal RNA (bases 1-105)
Source: RNAcentral
GAAAUGCGAUAAGUAAUGUGAAUUGCAGAAUUCAGUGAAUCAUCGAAUCUUUGAACGCACAUUGCGCCCGCCAGUAUUCUGGCGGGCAUGCCUGUUCGAGCGUCAUUUCAACCAUCAAGCCCCCGGCUUGUGUUGGGGACCUGCGGCUGCCCGCAGGCCCUGAAAAACAGUGGCGGGCUCGCUGUCACACCGAGCGUAGUAGCAUACAUUCUCGCUCAGGGCGUGCUGCGGGUUCCGGCCGUUAAACGACCUUCAUAACCCAAGGUUGACCUCGGAUCAGGUAGGAAGUCCCGCUGAACUUAAGC